UACGUAGGGGGCAAGCGUUGUCCGGAUUUAUUGGGCGUAAAGAGCGUGUAGGCGGUCAGGUAGGUCCGUUGUGAAAACUCGAGGCUCAACCUCGAGACGCCGAUGGAAACCAUCUGACUAGAGUCCGGAAGAGGAGAGUGGAAUUCCUGGUGUAGCGGUGGAAUGCGUAGAGAUCCGGAAGAACACCGGUGGCGAAGGCGGCCUGCUGGGCAGUUGCUGACACUGAGGCGCGACAGCGUGGGGAGCAAACAGG
Molecule: ribosomal RNA, 253 nt
Filed under: uncultured bacterium
Lineage: Bacteria
Description: partial 16S ribosomal RNA
Rfam family: Bacterial small subunit ribosomal RNA
Source: RNAcentral